GAUGAACGCUGGCGGCGUGCCUAAUACAUGCAAGUCGAGCGAACGGACGAGAAGCUUGCUUCUCUGAUGUUAGCGGCGGACGGGUGAGUAACACGUGGAUAACCUACCUAUAAGACUGGGAUAACUUCGGGAAACCGGAGCUAAUACCGGAUGAUAUUUUGAACCGCAUGGUUCAAAAGUGAAAGACGGUCUUGCUGUCACUUAUAGAUGGAUCCGCGCUGCAUUAGCUAGUUGGUAAGGUAACGGCUUACCAAGGCAACGAUGCAUAGCCGACCUGAGAGGGUGAUCGGCCACACUGGAACUGAGACACGGUCCAGACGCCUACGAGAGGCAGCAGUAGGGAAUCUUCCGCAAUGGGCGAAAGCCUGACGGAGCAACGCCGCGUGAGUGAUGAAGGUCUUCGGAUCGUAAAACUCUGUUAUUAGGGAAGAACAUAUGUGUAAGUAACUGUGCACAUCUUGACGGUACCUAAUCAGAAAGCCACGGCUAACUACGUG
This 497-nucleotide ribosomal RNA is filed under the name uncultured bacterium. RNAcentral's name for it is "partial 16S ribosomal RNA". It matches the Rfam family "Bacterial small subunit ribosomal RNA", at positions 28 to 507 of the family's 1533-position model. The record is from RNAcentral.